This 447-nucleotide ribosomal RNA is filed under the name uncultured bacterium. RNAcentral describes it as "partial 16S ribosomal RNA". It matches the Rfam family "Bacterial small subunit ribosomal RNA", at positions 338 to 795 of the family's 1533-position model. The record is from RNAcentral.
CCUACGGGUGGCUGCAGUAGGGAAUUUUCGGCAAUGGGGGGAACCCUGACCGAGCAACGCCGCGUGAACGAAGAAGUUAUUCGUAAUGUAAAGUUCUUUUAACAGGGAAGAAAGAGAAAUUUGACGGUACCUGAAGAAUAAGCUCCGGCUAACUACGUGCCAGCAGCCGCGGUAAUACGUAGGGAGCGAGCGUUAUCCGGAAUUAUUGGGCGUAAAGGGUGCGUAGAUGGCAUAGUAAGUCUUUUGUAAAAAUGCUGGGCUCAACCCCGGAACUGCCAUUAUGACUAUGUAUCUAGAGUAAUGGAGAGGAUAGCGGAAUACCCAGUGUAGAGGUGAAAUUCGUAGAUAUUGGGUAGAACACCGGUGGCGAAGGCGGCUAUCUGGCCAUUUACUGACGCUGAGGCUCGAAAGCAUGGGGAUCAAACAGGAUUAGAUACCCGAGUAGUC